UCACUGCAUGACUUAAAGGCAGGAAUCCAAAGAGCCUGCUGCAAAGUGAGCUGUGGGGAUUGCUCUGAUUGCCAGUGUUUCCUGCCAGUUGCUGACAGAGCUUGGAACAGAGUAAGGUCUAGCUAACAAACACUGGUGGAUAAACAGGACCUGGCAAGAGAAAUCAGGGGAAUGGUUUGGUUUGCACCAGGCCACUGGAUCCCAUUUCUUUGUGCAAAACAUCGCAGACUGCUGCACUGGAGGAAUGUGCUAUGGGAUGUGGAGCAGAACAGAAAACACAUUCCUGGAAGGAGCCAGCAAUUCCAAAAGAUGGCAGCCAUGCAGAGGAGCUGCUGCCCACAUGGGAUGGCAAUAUGCUGUCACCAUCAGUGCACCUGCACGGAGGACAGAAGAAGAGCAGCUCCCUUCUGUGAGUCACCGUGCUCCCAUCUGAAACAUUGGGUAAUAUUAGCAAGGAGUCUCGUAAGUAUGCCUUUCCUCCAUCUGGCAGUUUGAUC
Molecule: long non-coding RNA, 497 nt
Filed under: Junco hyemalis (dark-eyed junco)
Lineage: Eukaryota; Metazoa; Chordata; Aves; Passeriformes; Passerellidae
Description: lncRNA (ENSJHYG00000003174.1)
Source: RNAcentral